This 246-nucleotide unclassified non-coding RNA is filed under the name Hevea brasiliensis (rubber tree). Lineage: Eukaryota; Viridiplantae; Streptophyta; Magnoliopsida; Malpighiales; Euphorbiaceae. The record is from RNAcentral.
AAUUUUUCUUUUUAUUUUUUUAUCUUAUUUUUGUAAUAUUUAUCCUCACUUUUUCAUAUUUUAAAAUUAUAAUAUUAAUGAGGUCAUGCUUGCAUCACCAUGAUGAUGUCAUAAGUCUUUUUAAUUUAAUUUUCUUUUCCUUUUGUUUUUCCCAUACUUCUUUAAUUUAAUUCCAUAUUUCAAAAUUUUCAUUUCUCAGAUUUUAUUGGACAAUUAGGUUAUAAGUCACCUCUAGGAGUGAAUUGA